UACAGAGACCACGAGCGUUAUCCGAAUUUAUUGGGCGUAAAGCGUCCGCAGGUGGUUAUGAAAGUCAUUUGUUAAAUCUUUGGGCUCAACCCAAAGUCUGCAGGUGAUACUUCAUGGCUAGAGGCCGGGAGAGGUAGAUGGAAUUGCUGGUGUAGCGGUAAAAUGCGUUAAUAUCAGCAAGAACACCAAAGGCGAAAGCAGUCUACUAGAACGGUCCUGACACUCAGGGACGAAAGCGUGGGUAGCGAAUGGG
RNAcentral lists this ribosomal RNA (253 nucleotides) under uncultured bacterium. RNAcentral's name for it is "partial 16S ribosomal RNA". It matches the Rfam family "Bacterial small subunit ribosomal RNA", at positions 524 to 776 of the family's 1533-position model. The record is from RNAcentral.